UGAGGUAUGUCAGACCAUCUAUAUGAUCAACAACAAGAAGGAAGCGUUCAGCUUUGCUUUCAGAGAAAGCUCUCUCUUUUCAGAGGGAUGCAACACCUCUGUGAAAGUAGAGCCCCUGGCAAGCUCCAUCGCUCCUCUGUCAAGGUUUCCCAUUAGAGUCACCUUCGUACCAACACUAGAAGGAGAGAAGGAGAGGUGGUCUUCGACCUCAAGUGCAAUGUCGAGGGGAAGAUCCAGCCCCUCUCCUUGAAUAUCAAAGCCACCAGCUAUGGCCUGAACGUGUCUGUCGGGUGCAAGGACAGUGACGGCUGUGCCGCUGAGCUCUGUGCACAAGAGAUCAACGUCAUUGAUUUCAAGGAGGUACAGCUGAACGAGAACAUCAAGCACAUCUUCAGCAUCCACAAUAAUGGCAAGUUCAGCUUCACCUUCUCGUGGGAGCUGAGCGGCCCUGCAGCCAAUAAGCAGGUCCUUACCAUUGCCCCUCAGAUGAGCACUGUGCAGGCGGAGGGGAAAGCAGAGACCCAGCUGGUUUUUCACCUGCGGAAGAUGUGCUCUUUAAAGGACACAAAGCUGACACUGCAGAUCAGCAAGGGUCCCAUGUUUACCUGUGUGUUCCUGGCCACCGUGGUAGUGCCCGCUGUCCACUUCACCACCAGACUCAACUUUGGAGCCUGCUUCAUCUACCAUGCUGGGGUGUCACCUGCCCAGCAGACCCUUGUCAUCACAAACAAGGCAGACAAGGACAUGAGAUAGGCCACCUCCACAUGCUCCUUUGACCCUUGCUUAGCACAUGCCUGAUCCACGUCCUCAUGGCCACUGUGGAUGAA
Molecule: long non-coding RNA, 827 nt
Organism: Falco peregrinus (peregrine falcon)
Lineage: Eukaryota; Metazoa; Chordata; Aves; Falconiformes; Falconidae
Exons: 4
Source: RefSeq, a predicted model, not a curated record